RNAcentral lists this ribosomal RNA (253 nucleotides) under uncultured bacterium. RNAcentral describes it as "partial 16S ribosomal RNA". It matches the Rfam family "Bacterial small subunit ribosomal RNA", at positions 524 to 776 of the family's 1533-position model. The record is from RNAcentral.
UACGUAGGGGGCAAGCGUUGUCCGGAAUCAUUGGGCGUAAAGGGUGCGUAGGCGGCGCGGUAAGUCGGGUGUGAAAUCUCGGAGCUUAACUCCGAAACUGCAUUCGAUACUGCCGUGCUUGAGGACUGGAGAGGAGACUGGAAUUUAUGGUGUAGCGGUGAAAUGCGUAGAUAUCGUAAGGAAGACCAGUGGCGAAGGCGGGUCUCUGGACAGUUCCUGACGCUGAGGCACGAAGGUCAGGGGAGCAAACGGG